RNAcentral lists this long non-coding RNA (275 nucleotides) under Brachypodium distachyon (stiff brome). Its description in RNAcentral is "long non-coding RNA (BDIS_LNC001331)". The record is from RNAcentral. Lineage: Eukaryota; Viridiplantae; Streptophyta; Magnoliopsida; Poales; Poaceae.
AUCAUUAGAUAAAAGGGAACCGAGUUCCAGUGGGAUUUCACUAGAUCUUGUUAAUAGCUAAGCAUGCCCAUGUACUGCAACUAGUUAGGUGUUGUCAAAUUUGUUCUGAUGUGGCUCACAAACCAUCGUUUAAUUUAGUAGCUUGCUGAAACUCUUAGCACACGAUUUAUUAAGUGACCUAUGGCUGCUGGCUGUAGACCCAUUGGUGGUCAACUCCACCUAUGUUUAUCUGUAAGUCCAGUUAUUUGUCUCCCCUACCUGUAGCUUGCAAAUUU